UUUAGUCAGGCAACGAGCGAGACCCGUGCCCACUGUUACCAGCAUGUCCUCCGGGAUGAUGGGUACUCUGUGGGGACCGCCGGUGUUAAAUCGGAGGAAGGUGCGGGCCACGGUAGGUCAGUAUGCCCCGAAUUUCCCGGGCUACACGCGGGCUACAAUGAAUGGGACAAUGGGUCCCUCCCCUGAAAAGGGCUGGUAAUCUCACAAACCCAUCCUUAGUUCGGAUCGAGGGCUGUAACUCGCCCUCGUGAAGCUGGAAUCCGUAGUAAUCGCGUUUCAAUAUAGCGCGGUGAAUACGUCCCUGCUCCUUGCACA
Molecule: ribosomal RNA, 315 nt
Filed under: uncultured euryarchaeote
Lineage: Archaea; Methanobacteriati; Methanobacteriota
Description: bacterial SSU rRNA
Rfam family: Archaeal small subunit ribosomal RNA
Source: RNAcentral